RNAcentral lists this unclassified non-coding RNA (243 nucleotides) under Glomeraceae sp. Its description in RNAcentral is "partial contains 5.8S ribosomal RNA and internal transcribed spacer 2". The stretch from base 1 to 71 matches the Rfam family "5.8S ribosomal RNA", at positions 84 to 154 of the family's 154-position model. Lineage: Eukaryota; Fungi; Glomeromycota; Glomeromycetes; Glomerales; Glomeraceae. The record is from RNAcentral.
GUGAAUCAUCGAAUUUUUGAACGCAAAUUGCGCUUCCUGGUAUCCCGGGGAGUAUGCCUGUUUGAGGGUCAGUAUUAACAAAAAAUCUUUUUGGUUGCAAAUUGUCUUGUUUCCGGAUUUUGGGCUGAUUUUAACUUUUUUGGUUAAGGGGCUUAAUAUUGAUCUUGUUUGCGCAUUUUUAUACGUACAUAAAUUUUUUUUUAUUCGUCUUUUCUUAAUGCUAAAUUCUUAUUAUAUGCGAUC